RNAcentral lists this transfer RNA (77 nucleotides) under Sulfurovum sp. Its description in RNAcentral is "tRNA-Thr". It matches the Rfam family "tRNA". Rfam says of the family: Transfer RNA (tRNA) molecules are approximately 80 nucleotides in length. Their secondary structure includes four short double-helical elements and three loops (D, anti-codon, and T loops). Further hydrogen bonds mediate the characteristic L-shaped molecular structure. tRNAs have two regions of fundamental functional importance: the anti-codon, which is responsible for specific mRNA codon recognition, and the 3' end, to which the tRNAs corresponding amino acid is attached (by aminoacyl-tRNA synthetases). tRNAs cope with the degeneracy of the genetic code in two manners: having more than one tRNA (with a specific anti-codon) for a particular amino acid; and 'wobble' base-pairing, i.e. permitting non-standard base-pairing at the 3rd anti-codon position. The record is from RNAcentral. RNAcentral also lists the same sequence under 5 other names. Lineage: Bacteria; Pseudomonadati; Campylobacterota; Epsilonproteobacteria; Campylobacterales; Sulfurovaceae.
GCUGGUGUAGCUCAGCUGGCUAGAGCAGCUGAUUUGUAAUCAGCAGGUCGGGGGUUCGAGUCCCUUCACCAGCUCCA